Myodes glareolus (Bank vole) is the source of this 843-nucleotide non-coding RNA. The record is from RefSeq and is a predicted model, not a curated record. NCBI's taxonomy places the organism in Eukaryota, Metazoa, Chordata, Mammalia, Rodentia, Cricetidae.
UCCCUUCCCACACACAGGCUCCAUGAGGGCAAAGCACACCUCCCUCAGAGACGGUGGUCCUCUCUGUCCUGAGCAUGCGCUGACCGUGUGCACAGUCUGGAAGGAGUGAGCAGCCUUCCCCGGCUUCUGAUAGUGCUGGGACUGCCGGAUGACUCAUGCUCUGGUUUCUCAAAGUGGAAAGAAAAGGUUGUUCUGGACUGGACUCUAGGAAUCGGAGGCCUCGAGGAACCGCUGCACCCACAGUGAGCCUACUAAGAACGAUGGCGAAGGCAACGGCACAGGCAUGAGGCAGAGGGUGAACAUCAGCUUUGGGGACCUUCUGAUGGAGGCUGUUGUCACUCAGACAUGCUUCCCACUGAAUGAGCAUCUGGGACUUCUGGGCAGUCACAGUGACUACCAUGGUAUGCAUUUGGUUCUGUGCCACACAGUUUAGGAAGCCCCUUGGCCACAGCAGGUUCACAGCCAGGCGUGAGUUCUACACAGAGGCAACUUACACUAACUACAGCACCGGGUUAAGGGAGACACAGCUGAACUCUCCACCACCUGGGGACUGAGUGGAUAAAAGAGACACAAAAUAGAAUUCCCCAAAUAGUAACCCCAAAGUUGAUGGGGAUGGUGGGGGGGUAUGGAAAUAGGAGAACACUGUGGUUUGCUCACCAGCCAGCCCUGCAUGAAAAAUAAAAUGGUACAUACCCGGUUGGGCAAGGUACCCUGUCUCAGGGUGAUAAGACAGUUUGGGCCAGAGAGCUUACAGCCAGUGUCCUCCUUCGGUGUCCGCACGUGCAUAACACACACACACACACACACACACACACACACACACACACGAGCGAGAGGAACAAA